CAUUUUAGGCCCCUUACUCUCUCACUCACUCUCUGGUGUCGAUCUCUCUCUCUUUCUCUCAACCCUCUCUAAACCCUAAUCUCUCAGCCGAUCGAAUCAGCCUUCUUUAGCCCCGUUUGAUCUAAUCUCAGAGCGAUUGGUGAUUCAUCUUAGAUCCAAUCUCAGAGCGAUUGGCAAUUUCGAAGCUCCACCACCUCCACUAUCUGCACCGGCGAAGGAAGCGAGGACCAUCGUCUAAUAAGGAUCAAAGUAAUGGUGUGUCGAGCUUAGCAAAUGUCAAAUGCAAGUUGUUGCAUUGGGAGGGGUCAAACUUGGUAGUUGCAAAAGGCCAAGUUGCAUCAAGGGAUCCCAAGUCAAAGGUGCUUCAUGCAACUCUUGGACCUUUGUGUUGGAAAGUAUAGGUGAACCACGUAACAGUCAACGUGCCGUUGUUUCGUUCUACUCAUGAUAUGUAUGAUCUUCAAGAUGCAAUAGGAAGUACAGUUGCAUGGCCUAGUCAAUUCAUUCUUUUGGACUAAAUAUUAGACUAAUUGAUUUACGAUUUGUAGUUAUACUUUUUGGAUGUUUAAAGUCGUAUUUUAGAGAUUAGUGAAUCUUAUGAUUUGGAUACUUUUUUUGAUUUGUAUGUUUGAGGUUGUUAUCAGCUUGAUAUGAUAGAAGUUGAGGAUA
Camellia sinensis is the source of this 669-nucleotide long non-coding RNA. RefSeq lists it as uncharacterized. NCBI's taxonomy places the organism in Eukaryota, Viridiplantae, Streptophyta, Magnoliopsida, Ericales, Theaceae. The record is from RefSeq and is a predicted model, not a curated record.